Molecule: long non-coding RNA, 7942 nt
Organism: Seriola aureovittata
Lineage: Eukaryota; Metazoa; Chordata; Actinopteri; Carangiformes; Carangidae
Exons: 2
Source: RefSeq, a predicted model, not a curated record
UUUCCUCUGCAAUGCUCCAAACGCUCCCUACAUCCUGUCCGAAGGGGUUUCCGGAGUCACGCCAUGGAUGGCGAGGUGGCAGCCUUUAAGAAGCUCAGCACUGGCAGCAUUAGCAGGAGCAGCAAUGGGAGAAUGAAAUGGGUGGGAAAGGAGGUGAUCCUCAUGUAAGUCGAACAGUUUGUGUCUUGUCUUGUGCUAAAUUUUGUCAUAAGGAAAAGGAAGACUUAGAAGGAGGAAAUUUAGCAGAGAAGUAAAAGGUGUUGCGUGGGAAAAACUUUCAUAAGGAGGUUUUAAAUGUGUUGAAAAGUGACAGAUGGAGAAAGGGGAAAAGUCAGUUCUUUUGUGAUGAAGGAGAAGACAAAAUAUAUACAACACAAAAACAAAACAUGGAUCACACUGUCUCCCUUCGCACUUGCAACGACUACAGAGGAAGGAGAGGAGGUGGCGACAAGGAGAGAGAGUGAGGAAGUAGAGCAAAAGGAUGAGAAGAAGGUAAAGCAAAAGUAGGACAAGAGUGUAAUGAAGACAUUGUAAAAUGGAGGGACAGUGGGAGAAGAUAAAGAAAGAAGGGAGUGGAGGAGCAGAAGAGCUGCAGAGAGAUGCCUCAGCCUGCUGCUCUGCCAUACAAGGACAUGACCACCCACUGGGCCAGUCAAGGCCGAGGCCUUGCAUCAUGUUAGACAUGCAGAUAGACACCCAGCUGAGUCAUCUGGUUUUUGGGGGAUGGGACCGAGGGACAGAUACAAACAUGCAAGUGCACACACAAGCACACCACAUAGAGAUGCCCACAACAUAAAGUUCAGUGCAAACACACACUCUAUAUAUAUAUAUAUAUAUAUAUAUAUAUAUAUAUAUAUAUAUAUAUAUAUAUAUAUAUAUAUAUAUAUAUAUAUACACACACACACACACAGAGUAUACUCAGAGAUGUUCAACAAAGGAAAAAAAAUGUUUUUUGCCUUGGUGAGGUGAUUGGCCACCAUGAGCCUCCAGAACAACUUUGAUUUUUCUUAGCAUGGAUUCUCCAAGUCUGUAACUUGAAAAAAACAUUUUUUCAUUUGCUGAACAUCGGUUCAUAAUCUUUUAUCUUGAUAUCUGGUGAAUGUGAAGGCUAUAGCACAUCAUUCAUUCAUUUACAUACUCUUAACGACUUGCGGCAGUCUGCGUGUUAAUUUCAUUGGGUUUGUCUUUUAGUUUGUCACCUGUCUGUAUAGUAUCUGUAAAAGUGUUGUAAUUUCUGAUUCCUUGAUAUAUGCAUGGGCAUAGUUUUGUGUCUGCAUGCACAGUAUGUCACUUUUUAUGUCUGUAUUUGUAUUAAUUUGUCAAGGGCAGUGCACAUUAAUCAACAUUAAUGUGCACUGACGAUGUUAGCCAAGAUUGACUAAUAUUCAUCCUGUAGUCCUUUGCCAGAAUGUUAAAUUAGGCCUACCUGCAGAGAUGAGAUGAGUCUCACAAAUUAAUUCCAUUUCCACACAUUACAUUUACAUUAUACACCGCAACACUGUGACAUUAAACGGAUUAAAGAAAAAUCAAACAAAGAAGCUGAAAAACCUUCAUUAAAAGUACCCAGUCCUGUGUGUGCGCGUUUGUGUGUGUGUGUGUCUUAAAAGGAAUGAGAGAGAGAGAGAGAGAGAGAGAGAGAGAGAGAGAGAGAGAGAGAGAGAGAGAGAGAGAUAGAGAGAGAUAGAGGGAGAGAGAGAGAAAGCAGGAUUGAGAUAGUGUGUGACCUGUGAUCUGGAUCUUCUUUUUGAAGAGGAGAGGAUAAAGCUGUAUUUGAACUUCUUGUGUUGCUUAGCUUGAGGUAGCUGUCAAUCAACACCUUCCUGAGCCACACUGGCCACUCCCCAUGCAGCACCUCACACGUGUCCCGCUCCUGUGGGUGAAACAUGCUGCAGGAUUGAAAUCUUAGAGAACCCCGAGUACAAAUACAUUAUUUUACAUGAGAGGGGACAAAAAGUCCUUCAAAAGCUUGUUUCUGAUUAAGAUGAAGGUGAAAGGAUGUUUAUUCAACAAAUUCUUUGUACUGGGUCAUACCUCUAUUUUUAUCAAAGAGCAAAUGAGUAAUUUCCCUUCCUGCAUCCCUGCACAAGUAUUAUGAUCAGCAGCACAAAGUAUGACAGGCAUUUUAAUUUGCACUCUGUAACUAAUAUAAACUAGUGAAGGAAGCCACCUUCUCGCACUAACUGUGAAUGUUAAGAAGACGUUACAGUGAUGUUAACAGAAAAUAUAGCAAACAUUUAGUAUGAGCUUGCACUUUGUAAUCCAUAUAGAUAAGUCUCUAUGCACUGUUAGCUGUAUAUGCUAUGUGCAUGUUUUUAUUAAUCUCUGUACCACUGGGACCUCAUAUUUGUCCGGGACAGCAAACUGUUCAUGGAUGAGAGGAAUCUGAGCUUCUGUCUUGGCCAAAUCUCCCUGGAGAGUCUCCAAGAGCUUCAGGCUCUCACCAAGCUCAACCAGUGUCUGAAGGGGUGGCUCACAUUUGUACUGAACUCACUCGGAGUGGGCUGCCUGUCUGGAUCAGACAGCUGAGCUUUUAAGAUAUAACAUGACCCAGAGACAUUGACACAAUCCAUUUUUGUCUUUAGUUUGAUCAUUUUAUAUGUCUAAAAGAAGGUUGGCUUUUAAUUUGAAAAUAUGUUUUCAAUUUAAAAAGAACAGGAUACCAAUUAGCUGCUCACUGUGCGACCUUCUCGUUAUAAAUUACAGCUUAUCAAAUCCCUCAUUACCAUCAUAAACGAAAAAUGAAUUUAUACAAUAUCAUAGGAAAUUAUCUUACAGUGUAUAGUACAACAACACAGCUGAUAGAAAUCAUCAAGAGCAAACCCUCAUUAUUUUCAUUCAUUCCAGUUCAGAAUGUCAAGUAAACAUCUGCAAAUACACCUCAACCUGAAAAAGCUCCACCUCACAAUAAAAUCCUUAAUGAUAACAGUUGUCAUCUGAGCAACUGUACACCCUGGUUAACCAUUACAUGAUGUUACAUUCUGAGUACAAGUGUAAUUUCCCUUCACUCCUCACCUGUUGCCAUUGUCUUGUGGGUUUUUUCGAAGCCCACAAGUCGUGUUGGCAGCUGAGGGAACUUAGUGUGCCACUCACUGUGGUGCUGCACCAAGGGAGCAAUGAGCAGUGAACUGUCCAGCAUGACAAACUGGAUGUUCAAUACUGUCUCUUCCUGAACACCAUUGGCCUUUUCUCUGUACCUGUCAGAGGAAAGAGAAAACAGAAAAGCACAAGAGGGAAAUCAGUGUCCACUGUGCCAAAAUUACAUUUUAAUUACAAAGUUAAACAAAAGAACUUAAAUUUAUUUUAUUUAUUAUUAGGUAGGUACACCUAGCUAAAAGUAGAACGGUCUAAUACAAAAGUCCUGCAAUAAAUUCAACCUUCAUGAGGGUUAUGAUGUUCAGGUUUGUUGAAACUGUUUUAGCGAGGUGUUGAUUCAGCUGUAUGAUCAUUUUGGAGGCUGCAGUUUGCCAUGCUGUUGUUAGUCAUGAUGGGAAUUAUGGAUCUUGUUGCUCAGUUCCUUUCAAAAGAAAAACUCAUCAUUCUUUUUUCUUCUUGGUUGGUGCACAACAGCUGGGCCAGCCCCAUAAAACUGACUGACUGACUGACGGAUAAAGUUACACCACUGGUUUGCCAGUUUGUCCCAAGUUCCCAAAUUUAUCACAUUCUAAACAGAAUAUCCCUGUAAAACAUUGACCAAUUGUUUGAUAGGGAUGAGGGUUUUCUAGGAUAAUGACAAGGUAAGAUCCGGAUCAAAUUCAAACUUAAACAUCCCAUCGAUAUAAUUUCAUUUCACACUUAUUUGUAUUGCCAGACCUAAUGUCAAUGAUCUGCAUUGUAAACAUUACACAAGGUGAUGCCACAUCUGUCUGCUUUGUCAGUGAAUGUACUGCACAAUUUGCACAAUAUGUAAACAAGUUUAAUGAAUUGUUGUGCAGAACAGAUUUUUAGUGCAAAUCAAAUAGAUAAACAAUUAUCUGAAAAACAUUUCACACAAGAAUAUUUUUAAGAAUAAAUAUCAAAAUAGUAAAACUAAAAAAUUUACAUAAUAAUACUGGCAUACAGACAACUUCAACAAUAUUUCAUGUAUCAUAAAAAUAGACAAAAUAAAAUAGAGAAAAAUAUACAGAUACUAUUGGUAUAAACCCUGCGAUGGACUAAUGAACUGUCCUGGGGUGAGUACAUCUGAGCGGCUUUGACAAAAACAGGACAUGAGCUCCUGGUCUAGGAGCCACAUUGGCUCAGACAAAGCUUUCUUACUUGUAAAUAUAAUAACACAACAUAAAUUUGUAAACAAGACUGAGAGGCAGAGAAAAACAAUCUAUUUUAACUCACAGAAAAAUGUAUAACUUGUAAAGUAUAAACUCAACAUUUUAAAGCAUCCAACACCUUGUGCAGAUACUAGAGACUUUGUUAUCCAACACCCACUGAUACUGCUUUUUCUUUGUGUAAAGCAACUUGAUUUAAAUCUCAGGCUUGCUAAAUCUGUCAGCCAGUAAAACUACUACUAAACACAUCAUCUAUGACAAAUUUGUAUUCUGGAAAGUAAGUCCCUUCCCUUUUGAGGGCUUCAAGCGAUUUCUCCUCUCCGAGAUGGUUUGUCCACCUCCAUAAUGGCAUCUGCUAUGAGAUUCCUUGUUGACAGUGCACCAACUCCCUGUUCAAAGAAAUGUUUCCUUGUGCACUGCCUGUUGACCUGGUUGCUGGCUGGGUUCGCUGCUGCUGCGAGUGAUUCUUCCUGCUGUAGUUGCUAUUCUCUGGAAAGCCUCAUCUGCAGAUCCGGCAUCCCAAAAUGCCACCUUUUUGAAUCUUGUGCCCCGAGAAACAGGAUCACCAACAAUGUGGUCAUAUUCCCUUCUGUGGAAUCUGCCUGCCGUACCUUUCCGCACUGAUCUCCGCACUAAUUUUUUGAAAGGGCACCGGGAUAGUGCGCACCUUCUGAUGCAUUUGUGAUGGCUGGGGUUGAGAUAAUGGUAUCUUUGGACUGUAGAAAACUCUUCAACAUGUCAUAUGUAGAGUUCCAUGUUGUGAUUCAGGCGUGUUUGGGCUGUAGCUCUGCCACCCCCAUUUGGAUUUGAGUGGCCUUCAGUUUUGCACCCAGUGUGCUCCAGUUAAAGUAUCCCAUUGCCUCUUUCACUUUACCCGGAAUGAGUUUUGGGCCUUUGAGGACAUCUCUGGCAAUCAGAUUGAUGGUGUGCGCCAGGCAUGGAAGAUGAGUCCAUUUGUGAUUUGGGUAGCCUCUGUAAUGUUAGCAGCAUUGUCAGUUGUGCGGCAAACCACUUUAUUUUCCACUUUCCAAUCUUGUGAAGGUUUUCGGCAGGUUUUCUGUUGUGUCAGUCACUAAAUUCAAAACAAAUAGGCAGGAGGACAUGUUAAAAUCUUCAAUGAACUUACAUGGUACUAUCAUAAAUGAGGUUAAGCAAACUGCUGACACUUCAGACACCUUUUCCUUCAGUGAUGCUGCUCCCCUCUGAUAAAUGUUUGAAACCCUCUUCCUUGAUGGAGGAGUGUAAAGGGUUGAGAGCAUUGCUGUAUUGCUUGAAUCCUUUGUCUUCCACAAUUUUGAAUGACUGGAAGUCAGUGGCAAUCACUUUAGCAAGCUCUUCAUCCGUCUCAGUGGGGUUAUGACAGGUGCUGAAUAAUUGUGGAGAUAUGUCUGUCUUGUUUUGGGUCUUGUGCCAGUGGCACUAUGAGAGCUGGUGCCAGGCCAGGCGAUAAUGUAGGACUUGUGCUAGUUUCAGUGGUAGAUGCAUGGGUGUAAGUAAGAGUGGAUGACGUUGUCGCCUCUGCAACUUCCCUCGUUGGAUGCUUUGUUUUUAAGUGGAGGUGAAGGCUGUUUGUUGACCCCACUUUAAAUGAUAGUUUUGAUUUUCAAAUAUUGCACUCCGCUUUAUUAUUGCAUUUAUUACCUCCUCUAAGGAGGUUAUGUUUUCACUCAUGUCUGUUUGUUUGUCAGCAGGAUUAAACAAAAAGUAUUCAAGUGAUUUGCACGGAACUUAGUGGAGGGACAGAACAUUUUUUAUAAAUUUUUUUCACUUUCCUUAACAUUGCGAGAUAGGGCUUUUUUGGUCAAUUUCUCAGAAAAUAAUGUUUGGAUCUUGAUGCAAAAGAGCUGACAUAUAUUUAUGGUGUUGACAUCUGUGAGUUUGUACAGCUUACUGCAAAUCCAGAUAAUAAACUGGAUCUGACAGACAUGUGUAGGAUUGUCUGGCCUUGGUGGAGGUAUGCACUCCACUGAGUGCUAUUCUAUUUGCUGAAGUGCAUCCAGAUGCUGCUGCAUUUUCAAUUUUUUCUUUUUUUCCCCCAAAACACAUCUACCUCUUGUUACUGGCCCGUUCUCACUGUUCAUAUAAAGUGUAUUUAGGGCAAGCAGUGGAAUUUGGGCUGAAAGAUAACAAGAACGGCUCGGUUCCUUUCAUUCAUACCAAAGAGCCGUUGAAAAGAAUCGGAAUGUAUCACUAAUUUAUACAAGUGAGGGUAGACUAAACAGGAACUCCUCUCUGUACUAAACAAUAUAGUUCAACAGCACCACACACUACAUCCUCCAAAAUGAUCAUACAGUUGAAUCCAGAUCUAUCUAAAACAAAAACUACACAUUGUAACCUUCAUGUAGGUAGGAUUUAUUGCAGGACUGUUCUAUUACACUGCAUGUGUACGUAUGUGUGGAUAGCCUGCUUUCUCAACAGAAAUAGAGACCAGUGAAGUCCUGAAGUGAAAUCUAAUUUAGUCUUGAGUUUAGAUGAAACUUUUUCAGUACCAGAAACAUUCUGGUGCAAUGAAAAGCAAAUGUAGUUACUUGCUCAGAAAGAAACGGCAGUUUGUGCAGUUGUUCUUUCUCGAAACACAAUCACCUAGUGUGAGAGAAUUUGUUGAUGCAAAUAUAAAAAAACUAAAUUUUAAAGGAACCAAACAAUAAACACACCUACCUGUGCUAUCCUACAAUUAUGUAUAAUAGCAUCAAUACCACAAAACACAACAAGGAGCAAUACAAUGCAAACCUCAUUUAUGCAAUGGAAGAAAUCAGAUUAGUUUUAUCGAUGGAGGAGUAUUAUCGACAAGGGUGUGAAACGCAAAGUGCUGAGACAGGCUCCUGAGUGUACACACAAAGAACAGUGUUGACACUACAGCGAUUUACAUACUAAUGUCUUUGACAAAUCCAUAAGGGCAAUAAUGCACACUUGCAUUGUGGAUGUACAGUAUGUGUAUGUGUGUGUAUGUCUGUGCGAGUGUGGUGCCCAGCUUAAUGUUUGAAGAGAUUGUGUAACUGGACUUCAGUAUAUAGAUUCCACUGAGGUCACAAGGACAAUGCUGUUUGCUUCAGCCACCCUGUCACUUCUCUACCCUAUUCAUCAUUUCUUCUUUACUUUUCAUCACCAGCUCUCACUUUCUCUCCUCUCUGAAUCAUCAAGGCUACUGCAUAUUUCAAAGUGUUGUUCAAAACAUCACACAGUGUUUGAAAGCUCUUUUCGGAUAACUCAACAAGCAAGUCAUACAAAUAUUUUUGUAAUGUCCUGAAAAGGAAAUCCUGACACUGACACUGUGCCAGUUCACCGCAGCUGAGACUAGCCAGGUCUCCUCAAAUGUGAAUAUAGAGAGAGCUCUAAGAGUUCACGAAAACUAUUCUCUUCAUUCUUCUUCAUUCAUGACUGCUCAACUGAUUUUCAUCAACAGCUCUGUAUACAAAUGCUCUGAGUGUUCUUUUUUUAUUUGAAUUUGUAUCACUCCCCACCUUUUUAAAUCUAAACUCGCACUGCGGGUGUUCAACACUCAACAGGAAACACUGAAUGGACGAUGGUGGAACUGACAUUUCAGAGUUUGCUGGCUGAUUUUCAUUCUGACAAAUUGCAUGCUGUGAAAUUACUUUUACUAUCUCACAUUUUAUUUUUUUGCACAAAGCAGCUUGUAUAUUAUCAAUAAUAAACAUUAAAACUCAGUAGGUGAUCUGUGA